AGACACCAAGGAGAGGCCAACAGAUGAGGGGAGCCAUUUUUCUGCAAUGGAAUUAAAUGGCCAAGCUAAAGGAUUCACAAUUGGAAGAAUGAAGAAGACUUUUUAAAAAGAUCUGGAUUUUUCCUUAUGACUUGGAAUCCAUCUUUGUCUUGUAUAACUAGGUCAUAGCACACCAUUAAUGUCAGCAGUUAACAAUUUUGAAUUCCAAAAAACCUAAAGCAGUAAACAGUCCUCAGCGAAGCCGCCUUUUGCCAACCCAACCCUGGAAAGUUUGCAGAAGUGGAAGGAGCAGAAAAUGCCAUGAGAGUGUAACUUUAAAAAGCUUGAUCUUCCAGACUCCUUGGCACCGGGCUGAGCGGGCGAGAGAAAGGUCUCUCUAGCGACCUCGGACAUCCAUGGAGCCGCCUGCGCUCGUCCCCCUCGCUUUUCUAGGCUCACGACCGGAGAAGAGGUAUCCCCAACGUUGACCGUCUUUUUUCGGACAGCAGAAACAGGUCCAGUUUGACUCUGACAAUCUUCCCGCUAAGGAAUUCCUGGUGAAUAGAGGAAUGACACCGGUCCUCAGAACAUCUCGCAGGCUGGAGUGAAUGACACAGUUUGCUCAGAGUGGGUGACCCUUCUAAGUGAAAUCUCCCAAGGUUCCUCCAGCUUCCAGCUGCCACUGUGCACCCCAGCCCUGUCCCAGCCUCACCAGCCAAUCACAGCUCCUCCCUGGUCAUGGGAAAAGCUUUGUCUGGGCUCCUCUCCUGUUAAGAGCCUCUGUCCAGCACCCCUCUUGAGCCUGGCAACCAGGCCUCCACGAUCUAACCCUGGUUACUAACUUGACAAUCAUGUCUGGCCUCCCUCACUCCCCAGCCACUGCCAAACCUGAUAUGAUGUCUAGCCACCAUACACUUACCCAGGCUGGGUACCCAUCCUACUUCUGCUGGCCUUUCCUGCCAGCACUGACAAGCUUGGUUCAUGUGCUGCCUGCCUCUCAACCUUCUCUGAACCCUAGAGGCUCUGGUGUCUAAAUUGUUCACAUCUCAGAACGCUUCCCCCAAGACUGAGUUCCUCAGAGGCAGGAACACAAUUCCCUCUCAAUAAACUUGUGCUGC
Molecule: long non-coding RNA, 1097 nt
Filed under: Sus scrofa (pig)
Lineage: Eukaryota; Metazoa; Chordata; Mammalia; Artiodactyla; Suidae
Description: lncRNA (ENSSSCG00000063011.1)
Source: RNAcentral